CCUACGGGAGGCUGCAGUGGGGAAUAUUGGACAAUGGGCGAAAGCCUGAUCCAGCCAUGCCGCGUGUGUGAAGAAGGCCUUCGGGUUGUAAAGCACUUUCAGUGGGGAAGAAAGCCUUGGGGCUAAUACCCUCGAGGAAGGACAUCACCCACAGAAGAAGCACCGGCUAACUCCGUGCCAGCAGCCGCGGUAAUACGGAGGGUGCGAGCGUUAAUCGGAAUUACUGGGCGUAAAGCGCGCGUAGGCGGUCUGAUAAGCCGGUUGGGAAAGCCCCGGGCUCAACCUGGGAACGGCAUCCGGAACUGUCAGGCUAGAGUGCAGGAGAGGAAGGUAGAAUUCCCGGUGUAGCGGUGAAAUGCGUAGAGAUCGGGAGGAAUACCAGUGGCGAAGGCGGCCUUCUGGACUGACACUGACGCUGAGGUGCGAAAGCGUGGGUAGCAAACAGGAUUAGAUACCCCUGUAGUC
RNAcentral lists this ribosomal RNA (465 nucleotides) under Vreelandella stevensii. RNAcentral's name for it is "partial 16S ribosomal RNA". It matches the Rfam family "Bacterial small subunit ribosomal RNA", at positions 338 to 795 of the family's 1533-position model. Lineage: Bacteria; Pseudomonadati; Pseudomonadota; Gammaproteobacteria; Oceanospirillales; Halomonadaceae. The record is from RNAcentral.